CAGCAGUACGUGUCUCCCUGCUGGCUCCUUGGGUCAGCGAACACAAUCUGAAUCAGCCAGAGUUGCCUGUUGAACUCUCUCUUUGAUUACAGACACACGAAGCAGCAUGGACAAACCCCAAAUCGCCUUUGAUUUCUCUCUAACCCUGGCAGGGGGCAGGCUCAGGCCCCCUCCAGAUCCAGAAGCUAGGCUGGAGGGCCGAAAGGGCAGGGCAGUUUCUGCCAGGCCUCCCACUACCACACAAACAAAAAGAGCUGUUCAGUGUUUCUCUCCGAGAACAAAAUGAAACAGACAAAAAUACAACAUCUACAAAGACACAGGGAUGGUCCAGAAAGGUUUGCACAAACCCGGUAUGCAGACCAGGUAGGAAAAACCACCCGCUGCAGACGCCCAGACUGCUUCAGACACAUUCCCAGGAAGACAGAGGGAAGGAAGAAACAGGAAGGUCAUGGAGGAGCGGCAGAAGACCAAAUUCGGCCAGUUCGCCACUUGAGACCUGCCAGUUUCUGGAUUUUAAUGGCCUUUUCUCCCAGGCAGAGGUGAAAGAAACCCAGGGAGCCUCCUGGAAAUCCCAUUGACUUGGCAGAAAGAAGAGCUGGACGAUGACUGGAAGGUUCCGGAAGACAUCAUGGGGAGACAUCUCAGGAAGGGAAAGUCAAUUAUCCACAAGGACUCAGGGGCGGUGCUCCCCAUCAAAGGCUGGUGUCAGGAAAGACUCUGAGGUCAGAAUCCAGACACGGGAUUGGAGGUGCUGAUGAACUCUGCUGCAGCACAGACGUCGGGGAGAAGAACUCCAGCGAGGUUAGCAGUGGAGCUGAGAUUGGAAGAGGACUCAAAGAAUGGAAGACGUCAGCGAUCUACCAGUAGUAUGGGAGUCUCCAAGAAUCCAGGUUUAACAUUCAAAGCAAAGACCCCUCACCUGGAGGCCUCCAUCCACCUGAGCAUUCUUCAAGGAUCUCCUUGGGUCCCAGGUUAUCUAAUUUUUGGAUGGAGAGGGGAGCAGAGGACAGGCCAUCCAGAUGGCAUUGAAGGGACUUCCCUGGUGUUGCAGUGAUUAGACUCUGCCUGCCAAUGUAAGGGGCCCAGGUUCCAUCCCUGGUCAGGGAAC
Molecule: long non-coding RNA, 1108 nt
Organism: Capra hircus (goat)
Lineage: Eukaryota; Metazoa; Chordata; Mammalia; Artiodactyla; Bovidae
Exons: 6
Source: RefSeq, a predicted model, not a curated record